UACGGGGGGGGCAAGCGUUGUUCGGAAUUACUGGGCGUAAAGGGCUCGUAGGUGGCCAACUAAGUCGGACGUGAAAUCCCUCAGCUUAACUGGGGAACUGCGUCCGAUACUGGAUGGCUUGAGUUUGGGAGAGGGAUGCGGAAUUCCAGGUGUAGCGGUGAAAUGCGUAGAUAUCAGGAGGAACACCGAUGGCGAAGGCAGGUCUCUGGGCAUUAACUGACGCUGAGGAGCGAAAGCAUGGGGAGCGAACAGG
RNAcentral lists this ribosomal RNA (253 nucleotides) under uncultured bacterium. RNAcentral describes it as "partial 16S ribosomal RNA". It matches the Rfam family "Bacterial small subunit ribosomal RNA", at positions 524 to 776 of the family's 1533-position model. The record is from RNAcentral.